UACAGAGGGUGCGAGCGUUGUCCGGAAUCACUGGGCGUAAAGGGUGCGUAGGCGGGUCUUUAAGUCAGGGGUGAAAUCCUGGAGCUCAACUCCAGAACUGCCUUUGAUACUGAAGAUCUUGAGUCCGGGAGAGGUGAGUGGAACUGCGAGUGUAGAGGUGAAAUUCGUAGAUAUUCGCAAGAACACCAGUGGCGAAGGCGGCUCACUGGCCCGGUACUGACGCUGAGGCACGAAAGCGUGGGGAGCAAACAGG
This 253-nucleotide ribosomal RNA is filed under the name uncultured bacterium. RNAcentral's name for it is "partial 16S ribosomal RNA". It matches the Rfam family "Bacterial small subunit ribosomal RNA", at positions 524 to 776 of the family's 1533-position model. The record is from RNAcentral.